RNAcentral lists this ribosomal RNA (344 nucleotides) under uncultured Thermus sp. RNAcentral's name for it is "bacterial SSU rRNA". It matches the Rfam family "Bacterial small subunit ribosomal RNA", at positions 1037 to 1382 of the family's 1533-position model. Lineage: Bacteria; Thermotogati; Deinococcota; Deinococci; Thermales; Thermaceae. The record is from RNAcentral.
GGUGCUGCAUGGCCGUCGUCAGCUCGUGCCGUGAGGUGUGGGUUAAGUCCCGCAACGAGCGCAACCCCCGCCGUUAGUUGCCAGCGGUUCGGCCGGGCACUCUAACGGGACUGCCCGCGAAAGCGGGAGGAAGGAGGGGACGACGUCUGGUCAGCAUGGCCCUUACGGCCUGGGCGACACACGUGCUACAAUGCCCACUACAAAGCGAUGCCACCCGGCAACGGGGAGCUAAUCGCAAAAAGGUGGGCCCAGUUCGGAUUGGGGUCUGCAACCCGACCCCAUGAAGCCGGAAUCGCUAGUAAUCGCGGAUCAGCCAUGCCGCGGUGAAUACGUUCCCGGGCCUU